This 169-nucleotide ribosomal RNA is filed under the name uncultured bacterium. RNAcentral describes it as "partial 16S ribosomal RNA". It matches the Rfam family "Bacterial small subunit ribosomal RNA", at positions 338 to 524 of the family's 1533-position model. The record is from RNAcentral.
CCUACGGGAGGCAGCAGUGGGGAAUAUUGGACAAUGGGCGAAAGCCUGAUCCAGCCAUGCCGCGUGAGUGAUGAAGGCCUUAGGGUUGUAAAGCUCUUUUACCCGGGAAGAUAAUGACUGUACCGGGAGAAUAAGCUCCGGCUAACUUCGUGCCAGCAGCCGCGGUAAU